This 72-nucleotide transfer RNA is filed under the name Aquifex aeolicus VF5. It matches the Rfam family "tRNA". From Rfam's summary of the family: Transfer RNA (tRNA) molecules are approximately 80 nucleotides in length. The record is from Rfam by way of RNAcentral. Lineage: Bacteria; Pseudomonadati; Aquificota; Aquificia; Aquificales; Aquificaceae.
GGCGACGUGGCCGAGCGGUUAGGCGGGGGACUGCAAAUCCCCUUUACGGCGGUUCGAAUCCGCCCGUCGCCU